This is a long non-coding RNA of Lycium barbarum (goji berry), 1253 nucleotides long. RefSeq lists it as uncharacterized. NCBI's taxonomy places the organism in Eukaryota, Viridiplantae, Streptophyta, Magnoliopsida, Solanales, Solanaceae. The record is from RefSeq and is a predicted model, not a curated record. The transcript is spliced from 3 exons.
CGUCCCGUAUUUUUAUACAUUGGGACAACCCGGAUUAACUAUGAUAAAUUAAGGCCAAGACUAUUCCGGGAUUUGAAGUCGGGACUUUUGACCUUUGAUUUUAUUUUGAGACAUAAGUUGUGUAUGAAAUUGUUAGCUUGAACACUUAGGAAAAAUUGGGACCAUAAUUCAUAAAUUUGGAAAUUAAAACUCUUGCAUAAAAAAAAAAAAAAGGGAAGAUGUGUGGAUUGAAGUGGUCCCCACACAUUGUUGUGGCCAAUUUUAAUUGGUCCAACACAUGUGUGGGCCCAAAGACAAUAAGAGAUAUUUUAAGGGGACUUAAAAGAUGACCACUUAGUCAUCUUUCUCUCAUUUCACAUUCCCACACUUAGAAAAUAAAGCAAGAAGUUGAGGAACCAAAACCAUGGCUCACGGCCAAGACCAUGGAAAACCAAAUCCAAAUCAAGCCCCUCUAAAAAUAUUUCUUGGGUACAAAUCAACUAAUUAGAGGUCCCUAAGUAACUUGGAAGCAUUGUUGGAGUGAUCAAGUCUUUCAUUUAAGAGAUUUGCAAACCCUAGCCUAUUGGUGGAUUGAAGAAGAAAGGUACAGACGCACAGCCUGGUGAUCCACCUGUUUAGGACACCCUUUCUGCUAUUCGGAGUGCUCCUCUCUUUCCGGAGCUUAUACUUUUGUGAUGCCUCCGAAAAAGGCGACGGCCGCCCAGAAGAAAAAGGGCGUAGUAGGAGAGACCAGCCGGGCUCAGAAGGGUACUCGGACCCUUGCUCAGAUGAUGCGUGAUAUUACGUCCCGGCCAGCCGACUCUGCUACGUCUUCAUCGUCAGAGGAGUCUGGAGCAGCUUCACCAUUAGCUCCAGGGGCUUCAGCUCCCGCGCCUCCAGCUCCUCAGCCAGGGGCGGAGGACAGGACACUGAGAGAGGCUGUGCAGUUAUUGACCACUCUGGUAGCGGGACAGGCUCGCAGACGCGGGCGGAGAGAUGAUGAUGAUGACGAUAGGCGUGACAGCCUGAGGGUUCGAGAGUUUCUAUUAUGUGGCCCUCCAGAGUUUUACGGGUCUAAGCCCGACGAGGACCCCCAUGACUUUAUUCGGGGGAUGCGGCGCUCACUAGAUUUGGUCAGGGCUUCAGAGACUGAGUCUGUUGAGUUGGCUUCGCAUAGACUACGGGAUGUCGCUGCUCACUGGUAUGAGUCCUGGGAGCUAUCUAGGGGUGAGGGUGCUUCCCCAGCUACUUGGGACGAGUUCGUGGCUGCUUUU